RNAcentral lists this ribosomal RNA (253 nucleotides) under uncultured bacterium. RNAcentral describes it as "partial 16S ribosomal RNA". It matches the Rfam family "Bacterial small subunit ribosomal RNA", at positions 524 to 776 of the family's 1533-position model. The record is from RNAcentral.
UACGAGAGGCCCAAACGUUAUUCGGAUUUACUGGGCUUAAAGAGUUCGUAGGCGGCGCAGAAAGUAGGGUGUGAAAGCCCUCGGCUCAACCGAGGAAUUGCGCCCUAAACUACUGUGCUUGAGGGACCUAGAGGUGAGCAGAACAGAUGGUGGAGCGGUGAAUUGCGUUGAUAUCAUCUGGAAUACCGGAGGCGAAGGCGGCUCACUGGGGGUCUUCUGACGCUGAGGAACGAAAGCCAGGGGAGCGAACGGG